CGGCAAGUCCUACACAACUAGCUCCUGUUGAAUCCUCCAGGUCGGGAACGAAGCAAAGGUAAAUGGUUGUAGCAGUGUGAUGUAGGUAGCUUGCCUUUU
This 99-nucleotide signal recognition particle RNA is filed under the name Oceanihabitans sp. 2_MG-2023. RNAcentral describes it as "signal recognition particle sRNA small type". It matches the Rfam family "Bacteroidales small SRP", at positions 9 to 102 of the family's 107-position model. From Rfam's summary of the family: The non-coding component of the signal recognition particle in Bacteroides The record is from RNAcentral. Lineage: Bacteria; Pseudomonadati; Bacteroidota; Flavobacteriia; Flavobacteriales; Flavobacteriaceae.